UAAAAAUGAAAUGGAGAAAUCUUCAGAUAAAAUCCGUCUGCCUUUGAAACCAACUGUCAGCCCCUAAUGUGAGUGGACAUUUUGUUAAUAGAGGUGAGGAAGGGGAAGUCUCUCCACGCGUGGAGCAAAUCCUAAUUGUACUAUGAAUUUGAAGAGCUUAAAAUUCUAAUUAAUGAAAUUGAUGCUCAUCACCCAGCCUGAAAUAGGGCAUAGAAACCAAUGCACUUACCACCCUAGAGAAUGAUUGAAACUGCAUGCCCUAUGAUAUACGUAUUAGUGGGAUCUAUGCCGAAGAGUGGAUUUUGUUUGCUCCCCCAUCAAAGGACUCGUGGGAUGGAUGGUGGUUAUUUUAAUUGGUAGCACGCAGCAGUGCUCCACUAUUUAAUCAUUGCUUCUAAAAACGGAACAGCGGCCUAGAGGAUAUGGCUGUGCCCUAGAAAGUCGGGCUAGAGAAUCCUGCGUAGGAGGGCUACGAGCUUUCAUAAAUGCUACGACAUUAAGUUUUCCUUCGAGACUGAGUCUCUAAUUUUGUCAACAAGAAUGACCCCCAAGGCUGGCGUUCAAAGCAAGUGUUUAUUAAAGUGCACCCCAAGACCUCCUGCCUCAAAAUUGAAUUACACUUGUCAGAGUGUCUUUUAAAAAUGAAGGCGAGUCUGCCUCAGAGUGCUUUAAAAUUGGAUGAGCUUCUGUGUUACACUGUUGAACAGCAAACUGGAUAUCGAAGUAUCUUUCCUGAGUACCAUAGUUCUAAAUAGACAGACUGGACACCGCCAGGGCCUCUAAAGGGAACCGCUAAACUAUUUGAAGGAGAAAAGCACUCAUUAAUAUUUGAGAGCCUGCAAGACGGCGAGGCUCCAUCGGCUGUCAGCAUUCCCAAGAAAAGAGAGAGCCAGCAUUGGGGGCAGCCACAGUGGGCUGCCCACAACGGGCUAUUGACCUCCCCGUGAAGCAGAUAUCAGCCGACAGAGCCUGCCUAUCUCAGCAGUCGAGCUGGAAACAGGAGAAAGUGUUAAAUAUAACCAGAUUGCAAGCUCCUUGAAGUCCAUGACUCCAUCUACAACCUAAGGACUGAGUCCUGGGAUAAUUGAGCUGGAAAGGACCUGAGGAGUCAUCUAGUUCAACCCCUUGCCUACUUUUACAGAUGAGGUUCAGCUCAAAUGCCAUCAUGUAUACCAUCACAAGGAGUUUUUCCUGUUUUCAUCACUCCUCCUACACUGAAAUUACCUUAUAUGUACCUCCCAGCAUGGCCUCCAGAAGGCACGCGUAAGGAAGAGAAUAUGCAGAGUAAGCACGCCCAAGGAGACCCCGCUUCCUCUCCAAACAGCUGUUGGGGAAUAAAGGAAAGCAGAAUAAGGCCUCUGUGACCCGCACAAACAGCCCGCUAGCAGAUGCGAGGAGAACAGGACUGCAGAGACAGGAUGGACGGAGGAGAGGAGGCGUCACCGGGGCUUUCGAAGCCUCAGUACCGAGGGACACAUUUGUGAAGAAAUGUGACAGAGCAGAUCCAAAGCCCAACUUCAAGUCCAGCCUUUGAGAUAUACUAGUUGUGAGUCUGUGGAGCUGGAAGGAAACUCUGAGUCCACGGAGUCCAAUCCUCCUCAUUUCACAGUCAAGGAAACUGAAGCCCCAGCCACACAGGUAUUGCUAAAGGCAGGAUCUGAAGCCUGGUCCUUUAACACCAGAAGCAUGGUGAUUUGGAGCCAGAACUCCAGAAGCAUUUAAACUCCAGAACCAUGGUACCUUGGAAAAGACCAACCUUUAUAUAAUAAUUUCUCACCAAAGUUUUUUAAGACUGUGGCUCUCUAUAUAAUAAGAUUUGUAGUCUCAUAUACAAUCCUCUCUUUUUCUACUCUCUGUAAAUAUACACAGAGACAAUAUA
This is a long non-coding RNA of Phascolarctos cinereus (koala), 1879 nucleotides long. RefSeq lists it as uncharacterized. The record is from RefSeq and is a predicted model, not a curated record. NCBI's taxonomy places the organism in Eukaryota, Metazoa, Chordata, Mammalia, Diprotodontia, Phascolarctidae.